UUGAACGCUGGCGGCAUGCCUUACACAUGCAAGUCGAACGGUAACGGGCCUUCGGGUGCCGACGCGUGGCGAACGGGUGAGUAAUACAUCGGAACGUGCCCGAUCGUGGGGGAUAACGAGGCGAAAGCUUUGCUAAUACCGCAUACGAUCUACGGAUGAAAGCAGGGGACCGCAAGGCCUUGCGCGGACGGAGCGGCCGAUGGCAGAUUAGGUAGUUGGUGGGAUAAAAGCUUACCAAGCCGACGAUCUGUAGCUGGUCUGAGAGGAUGAUCAGCCACACUGGGACUGAGACACGGCCCAGACUCCUACGGGAGGCAGCAGUGGGGAAUUUUGGACAAUGGGCGCAAGCCUGAUCCAGCCAUGCCGCGUGCAGGAUGAAGGCCUUCGGGUUGUAAACUGCUUUUGUACGGAACGAAAAGCCUUCUUUUAAUACAGGAGGGUCAUGACGGUACCGUAAGAAUAAGCACCGGCUAACUACGUG
RNAcentral lists this ribosomal RNA (481 nucleotides) under uncultured bacterium. RNAcentral's name for it is "partial 16S ribosomal RNA". It matches the Rfam family "Bacterial small subunit ribosomal RNA", at positions 30 to 507 of the family's 1533-position model. The record is from RNAcentral.